This 731-nucleotide long non-coding RNA is filed under the name Meleagris gallopavo (turkey). Its description in RNAcentral is "lncRNA (ENSMGAG00000019361.1)". The record is from RNAcentral. Lineage: Eukaryota; Metazoa; Chordata; Aves; Galliformes; Phasianidae.
CAUAGACAUGAUUAAUGGCACCUCAUUACACCUGACAGCAACUGCUAAAGCUUACAAAAUUAGUCACAUCUUUUAAAAAUCUAGCUGCAGUGUCUGGAACCCUGUACUGAUGAAUACCAGGCUGGAUGCACACUGUGGCCUUUCUUGGACUGCCCAGGUAGACCCCAGCUAAAUGGAGAAAGAAGGAGUUACGAGAAGAAUCCUGUCUUCAAUCCUUGCCCAGUGAGGCUCAGCCUCACAAGGACACUUCCAAAUUGCCUGCUGCUCUGCCAGAUCCACAACUACAAGAAUGGCUGUGGUGACAAUCGCUUUCUUAUAAGGUCCUGCCCAAGAAAUCAGCCCCUUGCUCUACUGCCUCAUUCAAGUGGGGAGAGUUCGUUGUGCUUGCAGCCCAUUGAGCUGGAAGGAGCUGCUCUCUGUCUUAGACUUGCCCUGGACUGGCUCAAGGGUGCCUGCUCCCACAGCCUCCUCUGUUUCCAAAGGUAAAAUGUACAAACCAGUGCCAGAUAAAUCUAUGUGGGAUUCACCUCUUUGACCACCAGGCCUUAGAGUUAGGAUUCUUCUUUCUCAUUCAAUAAAUAUAUACAUUUUUUCCUGGAAAACAGGACUGUAUUGUAAAGAGAAGUGAAGGAUGAUAUUUCCAACUCAUAUGCCUUACAGAGAGAGUGACCAAGAGCCUUCUGCAUGAAGUAGCAUAUCUCCUCAGGCACAAAUGGGGAGAGAGCACUUUG